AGUGGUCCCGCAGAGGCGGGGUGGGAGUGGGGCUGCCGAGGCAGUGCACUUGGCUGUAGCUGGGCGCCUCGGUUAGGUGCGCUGUCAGUCCUUUCCGAGUGCCUGGCCCAGUCUCUCCCGCCUCGGCCCAACAUGGACUUCAGAGAAAUUCUCAUGAUAGCUUCCAAGGGACAAGGUGUCAACAAUGUGCCGAAAAGGUAUAGUUUGGCAGUGGGGCCUCCAAAAAAAGACCCAAAAGUUAAAGGUGUCCAAUCAGCAGCUGUACAAGCUUUUCUUAAAAGGAAAGAAGAGGAGCUGAGACGAAAAGCCUUAGAGGAGAAAAGGAGAAAAGAGGAACUAGUGAAAAAGCGAAUUGAGCUCAAACAUGACAAGAAAGCAAGAGCUAUGGCCAAGAGGACAAAGGAUAAUUUUCAUGGUUACAAUGGGAUUCCUAUUGAGGAAAAGUCAAAGAAGAGGCAGGCAACAGAAAGCCAUACCAGCCAAGGAACCGACCGAGAGUAUGAAAUGGAAGAAGAGAAUGAAUUCCUCGAGUACAAUCACGCAGAGUCAGAGCAGGAGUAUGAGGAAGAGCAAGAACCUCCCAAAGUUGAAAGCAAACCAAAGGUCCCCCUUAAAAGUGCCCCACCACCCAUGAACUUCACUGAUUUACUCAGGCUGGCUGAGAAAAAGCAGUUUGAACCAGUGGAAAUCAAGGUAGUGAAGAAAUCAGAAGAGCGACCUAUGACUGCAGAAGAACUUAGGGAGCGAGAAUUCCUUGAACGAAAGCAUAGGAGAAAAAAACUUGAGACAGAUGGAAAACUACCUCCAACUGUGUCCAAAAAGGCACCCUCUCAGAAAGAAAGUGUGGGCACAAAACUUAGCAAAGGUUCUGGAGACAGGCAUCCUUCUUCUAAAGGAAUGCCCCUUCCUCAUGCUGAGAAGAAAUCAAGACCCAACAUGGCCAAUGAGAAACACCUCGCUUUGUCUUCAUCCAAAUCCAUGCCAGGAGAGAGGAUCAAGGCAGGAUCUGGCAAUAGCUCCCAACCCUCACUUCGUGAGGGCCACGACAGACCUGUUUUCAAUGGAGCUGGAAAGCCUCAUUCCAGCACCUCUUCACCAAGUGUCCCAAAGACUUCUGCUAGCAGGACUCAGAAAUCUGCUAUUGAGCACAAAGCCAAAAAAUCUCCGUCCCAUCCUAGCCAUUCCAGGCCUGGGCCCAUGGUCACCCCACACAAUAAGGCUAAGAGUCCAGGUGUCAGGCAGCCAGGCAGCAGCUCUAGCUCAGCCCCUGGGCAGCCCAGCACAGGGGUUGCUCGACCCACAGUUAGUUCUGGCCCUGUGCCUAGGCGCCAGAAUGGCAGCUCCAGCUCAGGACCUGAGCGAUCAAUCAGUGGGUCCAAGAAGCCAACCAAUGACUCAAAUCCCUCUAGGCGGACAGUCAGUGGUACAUGUGGCCCUGGACAACCUGCAAGCAGCUCAAGUGGCCCUGGGCGACCCAUCAGUGGUUCAGGUAGUUCUGCAAGACCCUUGGGCAGCUCUCGUGGCCCUGGCCGGCCUUUGAGCAGUCCACAUGAACUUCGACGACCAGUGUUUGGCUCAGGCCCCCUGGGGCGGUCUGUCAGUGGCCCUGGGAGAUCCAUAAGUGGCUCAAUUCCAGCUGGACGGACUGUCAGUAGUUCAGUCCCAGGAAGACCAGUGAGCAGCUUGGGACCUGGGCAAACAGUUAGUAGCUCAGGUCCCACUAUAAAGCCUAAGUGCACUGUUGUCUCCGAAACAAUUUCUUCUAAGAAUAUUAUUAGCCGGUCCAGCAAUGGACAGAUGAAUGGAAUGAAGCCUCCCCUAUCUGGCUACAGAUCUGUCCAAGGUCCUCAAAGGCUUCCCUUCCCUACUGGUUACAAAAGGCAGCGAGAAUAUGAAGAGGAAGAUGACGAUGAUGAUGAAUAUGACUCUGAAAUGGAAGAUUUUAUCGAAGAUGAAGGAGAGCCUCAGGAAGAAAUAUCCAAGCACAUUAGAGAAAUCUUUGGUUAUGACCGAAAAAAGUAAGACUAAAGAAGAUUCAGAUAACUAUGACAUCCUUUUUUUAUUUUGAAUAAUUCAUGUCAUAGGGUAAUAAACUAAUAGUGGAGGCACUGAAUACAAUUCUUAAUUAGGAACCCUUGGGUGAUUGUUAUUUUAAAUAAAUGUACUCU
This 2168-nucleotide small RNA is filed under the name Pongo abelii (Sumatran orangutan). RNAcentral describes it as "retained intron". The record is from RNAcentral. Lineage: Eukaryota; Metazoa; Chordata; Mammalia; Primates; Hominidae.